RNAcentral lists this ribosomal RNA (471 nucleotides) under uncultured bacterium. Its description in RNAcentral is "bacterial SSU rRNA". It matches the Rfam family "Bacterial small subunit ribosomal RNA", at positions 917 to 1382 of the family's 1533-position model. The record is from RNAcentral.
GGACCCGCACAAGCGGUGGAGCAUGUGGUUUAAUUCGACGCAACGCGAAGAACCUUACCAGGGCUUGACAUCCCUUGACAGCCAUAGAGAUAUGGUUUUCAAACCUUCGGGUUUGACAAGGAGACAGGUGGUGCAUGGUUGUCGUCAGCUCGUGUCGUGAGAUGUUGGGUUAAGUCCCGCAACGAGCGCAACCCCUACUUUUAGUUGCCAGCAUUUAAGGUGGGCACUCUAAAGGAACUGCCGGUGACAAACCGGAGGAAGGUGGGGAUGACGUCAAAUCAUCAUGCCCUUUAUGUCCUGGGCUACACACGUGCUACAAUGGCUGGUACAGAGGGCGGCGAAGGAGUGAUCCGGAGCGAAUCCCAAAAAGCCAGUCUCAGUUCGGAUUGCAGGCUGCAACUCGCCUGCAUGAAGUCGGAAUCGCUAGUAAUCGCGAGUCAGCAUAUCGCGGUGAAUACGUUCCCGGGUCUU